CGUCGCCAGGUUGUCGCCAGGCGACGCGCACACGCCCGAUGGCCCAAGGCGCGUGGACCAGAUGCCCGUGGGCGCCGACGCACAGUGGGCCGAGAACGGCCCAUGAACGGGCCAACUCUCUUCGUCCUCCUCGCCUGAACUCCGUCUGUCCCCAUCGAUACGCUCCGCUCCGCCUCGGCCGCCUAGGGUUCGUCUUCGUCCCCCACCACCGCCCUGCCUCGGCCGCCUCGGUUCGUCUUCUUCGAUCGCCACAGCUCGCAAAUCGCAACGGCUCUGGUCUCAUCCAAUCUCCUAGCAUUAAACACAAUAAAUCCGUCUUCAAGGCAAUAGAAACUGCUCGGAAAAUUUCUUCCGCCGCCGCCGUCUUAAAGGCCCGCGAUGGUGCUGUCCGCCCCCACAACGAACCGGGCAAGCUACGCCGCUGCAGCCAACACGGGCAGCUGCUCGAACGCCGGUUCAUCUCCGCCUACGGAAAUUGUCGCGCCUCCAGAUUUCCGCUGCUACCCCAGGCCGUACGGUUUUCUUGGAAUUGAUUUCGGAUUGAUUUGUACACCUGUUCAUCAUCCACAGUGUAGACUGCAUUCUUCAACUGGUUGAUCUCCGCGUACGGAAUUUGUCGCGCCUCCGGAUUUACGCUGCUACCCAGGCUGUGCCAUUUUCUUGGAAUUCAUUUCGUUCAAGCAAAUGCGUCGAAUUCCAGGUUAUGUUGUUCACUGACUGAGGGUAUUUUCAUUUCCUUGAUGUAGCCGCUAAUGCUCUUCAGUCUUCACUGCAUGGCACCGCGAACGAAUACUGAUCACUGAAACCUCCAGAAUCUUUGUCUUCACUACAAUCUUAAGCUACCAGAGAUCCAGCAAAAUUCGUGCCCUCCAAACCUCCAAGGUGCUUGAUAAGAUUACCAUGUGAAUUGACAAGAUCCUAUCUGUAUUGGGCUCUUUGUUCGUCGAAUCGUAAAUGAGGCUCACAGUUUCAAUCCAAUGUUGUCUGACGGCCUGUAAUCCAUAUGGCAACGUCAGUUUGGAGCUGCUCUUCGACCGUCGUAUCUGCCCACUUUGCUUGGUUACAGUCACAAGAUCAACUAAAAGAAAAGUGUUUUCCGACGUGUGAUCGUGUCCAUUGAUUUGUGAUCAUUUUGCACCACUGGUCCGUGUUGCCCUAAAUUAUUUGUUACUUUGUUCACUCAAUUCAUCAGCUGGCCUACCAGUGAACAACGAGGCUCUUCAUAUCUGCAUUCUUGCCCAAUUCUGAGCAGCUGGUACUGGCUAUAGAUUGUAUCUUUUGAAGGACAGAUUGAUUAUUCAGUUUAGCUUUAAUAUAGUUCUGAAGAUGUUGACAUGAUUUUCCUGUCUAGCUUUUAUUCAGAUUAUAUUGGAGAAUAUCAGGUUUAUCUGAUGCUUCUCACGCACACUAAAACCUAUGAUACAGUUUGUGAAAUAUAUUUGCUCCAGCAAUGGCCAUGGCACAUAUUUCACAUUA
Long non-coding RNA from Lolium perenne, 1476 nucleotides. RefSeq lists it as uncharacterized. NCBI's taxonomy places the organism in Eukaryota, Viridiplantae, Streptophyta, Magnoliopsida, Poales, Poaceae. The record is from RefSeq and is a predicted model, not a curated record.